RNAcentral lists this long non-coding RNA (288 nucleotides) under Phaseolus vulgaris (common bean). RNAcentral's name for it is "long non-coding RNA (PVUL_LNC004489)". Lineage: Eukaryota; Viridiplantae; Streptophyta; Magnoliopsida; Fabales; Fabaceae. The record is from RNAcentral.
GUCUUCAUAAUAACCAUGAGAAGAAUGGGAGUGCCUUGAAGAAUGCCGAAUAGGAGGAGGAGUUCUUCUCUCACGGUUUUGAUGUAUUUCUUCUCGGUUUAACUCCAAACUUUGGAGCCGUGCUUCCAUCUUCCUUAUCACCUCAAGAUAGUGAGCAUUGGAUUGCUUGGCAUUCUUUAAGUCUUCAUAAAGGGCUGCCUUUUGUGGUGAACACAGUUUGGAGGACUCUCCACUAGAGAAAUGAGCCAUGAGCAGAAAAUACACAAAAAACAGAAAACAAAACAGUGA